This 151-nucleotide ribosomal RNA is filed under the name Tolypocladium sp. JDF-2013c. RNAcentral's name for it is "5.8S ribosomal RNA". It matches the Rfam family "5.8S ribosomal RNA". Rfam says of the family: 5.8S ribosomal RNA (5.8S rRNA) is a component of the large subunit of the eukaryotic ribosome. It is transcribed by RNA polymerase I as part of the 45S precursor that also contains 18S and 28S rRNA. The record is from RNAcentral. Lineage: Eukaryota; Fungi; Ascomycota; Sordariomycetes; Hypocreales; Ophiocordycipitaceae.
CAACAACGGAUCUCUUGGUUCUGGCAUCAAUGAAAAACGCACCGAAAUGCGAUAAGUAAGGUGAAUUGCAAAAUUCAGUGAAUCAUCGAAUCUUUGAACGCACAUUGCGCCCGCCAGUAUUCUGGCGGGCAUGCCUGUCCGAGCGUCAUUU